RNAcentral lists this ribosomal RNA (1490 nucleotides) under Triticum aestivum (bread wheat). RNAcentral's name for it is "partial small subunit ribosomal RNA". Lineage: Eukaryota; Viridiplantae; Streptophyta; Magnoliopsida; Poales; Poaceae. The record is from RNAcentral.
GCCUCGCACGCCACUCCACCGCGUGAUGCGAUGCGACGCGACGCGACGCGGUACGGGCCCGACAGCGAAGCAAGGUAAUUACGCGCUGCUCCGAGGGCCUAAGUGCAAGAAAGCCGACGACGAGGCAAGGAGUGCCGGAGGAGCAGCAGCUUGCGCCCACUAUAGAAAUCCCUCGCCCUCCGUCUCCGCUCCCCCCAAAUCCCCCGAAUUUGACCCGUUUCUCCGCCGAUUCGCGUCACCCCCCCUUUCUGCUCGGGUCGGUGAGUGGUCUCAACCCCCGGAGGGAUGGGGUACCUGAGCACCGUCAUCGGCCACCCCACGGACGGAUCGCCGGUCAGCGGCGGCGGCCUCAGCCAGAAUGGUAAGUUUAGCUAUGGUUAUGCGAGCUCCCUGGGUAAAAGGGCUUCCAUGGAAGACUUCUAUGAGACAAGAAUUGAAAGUGUCGAUGGGCAGCUUAUUGGUUUAUUCGGAGUUUUUGAUGGUCAUGGUGGUGCUAAAGUAGCUGAGUAUGUCAAACACAACCUCUUCAGCCAUCUUCUUAGGCAUCCAAAGUUCAUGAGCGACACAAAAGUGGCUAUAGAUGAUUCUUAUAAAAGUACCGACAGUGAGUUCUUGGAAUCUGACAGUACUCAAAACCAGUGUGGGUCAACAGCAUCAACUGCUGUACUUGUUGGUAAUCGUCUCUUUGUCGCAAAUGUUGGAGACUCCAGGGCUAUCAUAUGCAGGGCAGGAAAUGCUGUACCUGUUUCGAAAGAUCACAAGCCUGAUCAGACAGAUGAGCGGCAACGUAUUGAAGAAGCUGGAGGUUUUGUUAUGUGGGCAGGAACAUGGCGUGUUGGUGGUGUACUUGCUGUUUCUCGCGCUUUUGGUGACAAGCUCUUAAAGCAGUAUGUAGUUGUGGAUCCAGAGAUCCGGGAGGAAAUCGUUGACGAGUCCCUGGAGUUUCUCAUCCUUGCAAGCGAUGGGCUGUGGGAUGUGGUCUCUAACGAGGAGGCUGUCGAUAUGACCCGGUCAAUACAAGACCCAGAGGAAGCUGCUAAGAGGCUCUUGCAGGAGGCCUACAAGCGGGAGAGCAGUGACAACAUAACCUGCGUCGUCGUGCGCUUCUUUCACGGGCAAGGGAGUAGUGGGCCUGCUUAAAGCAGGUGCGAAGAGUUACUCUCAACUUCUCAAGUCGACGUUGUACUGUGAUGACACGCGUACAUGCCUUGAUUGAUUCUUAAGGUUUAAACGAAGAGAAACUGGAAGUAGGAAAAGUGUACUCUGAUAUGAGAACAAAAGUUUAGGAACGAAGUGUGCCCUAGGCCUUAGAUUUAACAAUAAAUUUGCUGGUGAUGAACUGAUGACCGUUCAUCGUGGUUUAGUUGUGGAUGGUGUUGGGUCUGAUGAGUGUGUUGUAUCUUGUUGUGGAUUGCCAAACCAUGUGUGAGUGUGAUGUAAGCGAUUAUUGUUGUACUGAAAUUGAGCAAUGACAAGUAUAAUUGAGUUGU